CCAAUGUUAUCGUUCAUGUGAGAGAGGGUGUAGUAGUGCAUACUGACCACUAGUUGGAUCAUAGCGUGGUUGGUGGCGUUCAURCAGGAACCCAGAGGGUAUAAUAAUGUUUACAUCACUGUUUAGAGGACAAUUUGUAAGAGACAGCUAGCUAGKCCUACGUUUUGAAUUGUUGCAUUAUGUUUUAAGUGGGUCGCCACGCGGAAUCAUUAUACAAGCACCACYAGGCAAAUUCAGGCUCAUGUUUGAGUGGCAGACAUGACCCUUGUUCUUACCAGAUGCUGUUGAGGAUGAAGAAGAGCUGGAUGAAGAUGGACCAAGGGGCAGGAUACCCCCCCCCCCCCCAUGACGAUUCCGGGCAUGGGCUUGGUGAAGAAGGAAUGUUUAUGGAUCCGCUGAGUGAUAUGUAGGUGAGACUCACUCCUCUUGAAGCCGAAGUAGGCUAGCCGCCCAUGAAGGUAAAGGKCUCGGAGAUGCCAAACCACAAAGCCAAGAUGGCCACCACCGUGCAGAAGGGGAUGGCUGCCAAGAAACCAUCCACCCACAGGAUCAGGUUAACCAGGAAGAAGUCUGCAAACAAGAUCCUAAGAGGGAGGGAGAAAAAAUGGGUAGGGGAGGCGUGGGACAGUGAAUAUCUCUGGAAAAAUUGGCAACAGCAUCACCCUAAUAAAAKCUAGACAUGUUUAAAUAUUUUUCAGUCAAGUAUGUUGCCAUGAUGUGUAGAAUCUKUUAUUGA
Long non-coding RNA from Salvelinus sp. IW2-2015, 736 nucleotides. RefSeq lists it as uncharacterized. Lineage: Eukaryota; Metazoa; Chordata; Actinopteri; Salmoniformes; Salmonidae. The record is from RefSeq and is a predicted model, not a curated record.